GACCCCGUGCACUUGCCAACUAACCAUACCAUUACCACCAGCCGCUGCAGAAGUUCGCGCACCGUCGUCGCGCGUCCACCGGGAAGCGGGUGUGGCUGGGCUCGCUCCUCGUUAGGGUUCGUCGUGAUCGCUACAGAAUCGGGUGUGGCCGGAUCGGAGUCUCGACGUGGAUCUCCUCAGCGAGUAGUGGUUGAAGUCUGCUCGGUCUACCGCUUGUCCAGGGGUGAGUUUUUCCCUACCUGUUGAUUGUAGCCAUGUAGGCUAGGAGCAGUGGUGUCCAGGCGGUAGUUAGGGCUCGAAUGGUGAGCUCGGUGCAGCUCGUUGCCGCGUCUGUGGAGCUCGUCCACGAUGGAAUAACUGAGGAAAGAAAUAGAAGAGAGAGGGAGGAUCGGGAGGUUGAAGAUGAUGGCAGGGCCGUAGAUUGUAAAGCCAAUGGUGCAGAUUAAGUCAAGGCGCGCAGUGUUGACCGGUGUAGGGGAAGAGUGCCUGCGGCGUGCGGGCCGUCGACUCUGUGAUGUAGGGCCCGGAUUAGAUGAUGACAUAAAGUUUCGCCGGGUGGUUUGUGACCGUUGAUCUGAUCACGUACGUGCAGGAUUAGAUCGCUGUGUACCCCUUCGUUCUUUUGAUCCGAGACGUUGAUCGGUGAUCCGAUGGGUUAGAUCGGAUCAUGCCUUAAUAAAACCCACGCCGUUGGAUCUUUAUCCAACGGUGACUGCUGUGUACCGCUUCAUCAAGUGAACAGAUCUAAUCUGUGCCGCCAGGCAUGGAUCCAACGGUCUAGAAUGGCGCGUACCCCUUCGCUUCGGGAUUUAUUCAAAAGAGACCCUAUAAUAUUUACUAAUUGACCCGCCGUCCAACCUAGUGGUAAAGUAAUUAUAGAAGAGCCCUGGAUUUUACAAACUGAACCCCGAGCUACUCAGUAUUUGUGCGCACAGUCCAGGAAACAGAGAAAAUAGGAAAAAUGAUAAUAUGAAUUUAUUUUUAGUACAAAAAUAAAUCUAGAACCUUGUAUAAUUCAUAGAAAAUUCAUAUGAACUCCAAAUUGAUCCAUUCCAAUUUCUAUAAUUCUAUAUUAUUAUUAUUUAUCAUAUAGUACCUCUGUUUUGACAUGAAAGUCACAUCAAAAUUUAUAGCUUAUUUAAUCUUGUACACAACACAUAGAAUCCUUAGGAAAUUCAUAACUUCCCCGUUUUAACUCCGAUUUGAUCCGUUCAAGUUGCGUUAGUCUCAUAUAAAUAUUUACUAUGCAAUAACAACAUUUAUUAUACCAUGUCUCAUUAUUUAUAGAUCUGUAUUUAACUUAUGUUGGUUAGCCUUGUAAUAUGCUCAUCUACUAAAAUAUGAUCUAUGGUCAAUUAAUAAUUUAGAUUAAAGUUGAAUUAAUUACUACUAUAGGUUACCUUUUCUCUGGGAUUAUAAAAUAAACAUAGAACCUGGUGUUAAUCAUUUAAUCACAUCAUAACUUGAUGACCACGACUCCGAUCUUAGUAGUUCUUGUUGGGGACUUGUUCUCAAGUGCUUCGGAAUUAAGAACAAGGCAACACAAAAUGUUAAAUGUUAAUGUCCUUCGUCCUUUGAACCAUUAUUUCCAUUAGGAUAUAAUGGUCUUCAGACGAAGGUUAUAAAGGACGUACCUUCAUCAUCGUAAUGUAAAUUGAUGAAAGAAGAAGCAUAUGAAAUACGCGAGACAACAUGAAUAAUCAUAUGACAUCAUUAAUAUACCUUCCUCUUAUUAAUCAUAGAUAAACAGGAACAAUAUUGAAUUACAUCUGUACCUUCGGCUUGAUAGAAGGUAAAUGUGUGAGCGUGACGCACGAGCGAAUACCAGUCAACGUGAACAGUACGGGGGAACUGUUCUUCUAUUUAUAGGCAUAGGACACAGCCUGUGAGAAAUUACAUUCAUGCCCUUUACAUUCAUUGUUAACUAAUAGUCAACUCUAUGAGGACUAGAUAGCCUUUCCCCCUUUAAGUCGGUUCCUUUCUCCGCCAUUUAGCCGAAGCUCCCUCGCACGUAGCUUCGGAGCAAUUCCAACCUUCGUCGCGAUCAUGCUUUUAGCUCGAGUCCGAAAGUACCUGUUCAUAUGCUACACUUGGAAGGUUUUUGUUAGGUCUCGUUUUUUAGGACCUUCAGAGGACGAAGUCCCCCAACAGUAGCCCCUUGCAGUAUUAAUUUGUUUAAGAUAACGAAUUCAGACUGCGAUAUGGACGAAGACCUUAAGCCAAAGGUCCAAAAAAACACCUUCCCUUUGCUAGAAUAGCAACAGUCAAUGACAGGCGGGGCCCCUUGGUUUGGAGCGCGUCGAGCGUAUAAAUAAGAGUUCGCACCAAGCUCAUUUGGUACACUGCCUGUGCCAUUUGCUUUAUUUUCUCAAUUUCAUAGCUGUUGCUCACUAACACUUGCUAGUUUUUCAAAGCCUUUUAAGCUUCGGUUUGAAAAACAUAGUUUUGUCAUCUCUGAAGGAAAGAAUGUCUCAGGACAAGAAGGUUGCCGCUGAGACAAAGCUUGCUAAAGAGGAGAAGCUUUUUGAGGAGAAGAAGGCUGUGAAUCCAUACAUUGCUGGAUUUAUCGAGUCAAUGGCAAAAACAAAUACAGAAAAGAUUACUAAGGAGAUAUUGGAGGGCCUGUCUGAAAAUACUAGUGACAGUGACAUUUAUGAUGUAGAAAGUGGUGGCGAAGAUUCUAAGGAUCAACCCUGGAGACCAAGCCAUACCAUUUUCAGAAAAUCUUCCAUUAAGCAAAGUCACCUCGAAAACAUGAGGGGAAGAUACUUUCGAGAUAUGUCUAUUGUGAGGCUGGCGGAGACAACAACGUCCCAGCCCCUGAGGAAAACAAAGUUGUGAUUUUUCGAAGCUUCUUCAAAGCUGGGAUUUGGCUUCCGCUGAGUAAGUUUGUAGUUGAAGUAUUGAAGACCUACCAAGUUUUUCUUCACCAGCUGACCCCCGAAGCUAUAUUGAGGAUGGGAAUCUUCGUCUGGGCAACAAGAAGCCAAGGGAUAGAACCAAGUGCGAAGUGCUUCUGUAGCAUGCACAAACUUUUGUAUGAGACAAAGGCCACGGGAAAGAACAGUAUCAUAAUAACUUCGAUUGUUAUGGGUCUAUUGCCCACCCCAAUGCAAGCUACCCGGUGCCAACAUUCCGGAAAAGGUGGUCCAGAACCUAGAUGGAGGAAUGGUUUUACGUGAAGAAUGACUUAAAGGCAAGAGAAGAUAUUAAGGAAGUUAUUAUGCACCCCAUUUGGUCCCGCUUCGGCCUCCGAAGGCUGAAGGUUGAAAUGGAUGAAGCCGCCGAAGCAUGCCAGAAGGCGUUUGGUACUGUCUGUUUUUUCAUUGGUACAAGAGACUUAAUCCAAGAGCAUAUAGCCUUCAGAGUAUGGCCGCUUGUAGAGAACCGGGAAAUGCUGAAGAAAACUGUCACCGAAUCAAGCGAAGGUGAGCUAGUUCGGAAGAAGUAUACUUUCAAUUAUGGGGAUAAAUUCGACGAGCCAAACGAUGACUGGUUAAAAUGCAUUGAAGUAACAAGUGAUGAACUGCUUGGAUCAUAUUCCAAGGCAGAAGAUAAUGCAUUGUCCACAGUCUUCGGAAGUCGGGGAAAUAAGAGAUUGAAUAGAGUUUUUGACGCUAUUGGCUUCGUCUAUCCCGACUACCGUUAUCCGCUGCGGGGGCAAGGGAAAAAGAGGAAAGCUACUGCUGCGGUCGCCUCGGCCGAUCCUGUGCCGAAGGCUACAAGCAAAAAGAUGAAGGUACUUACCCACCGGCCACGCUAUAUUGAACCAGCCGUGGUGCUUGAGUUUGGCGGGGAGGCUUCUUCAGCUGCUGAAACAAGAGAACUCGUUCCUCCAACACAGAAGACUGAAGAGCCUGUUAUAAUGCAGAAGGUACCCUCAGCUGAGCUGGCUGAGUUAAAGACUGAUUAAAAUAAAGCUGAAAAGCCAAAUAUUGAAGAAACAAAAGCGCUAGGAAUUUUAAGCCCUUUACCAGAAGUAACAGUAUCGAGGGCACAAAAAGGUUCUGCCGCAACUCCCAAGAGGAGAAGGAUGGCAAAUGUACUAGAUGUGUUAGAAUCAGUAAAGACUUUGAGCUCUACUCCUUCAAGGAAAGUUGCCAAGGCUUCAAAAGUGCAAACUGAAGCUGAAACAAAACCGGCUGAAAUUGAAGCUGCAAUAAUCCAAGCUGAUACCAAAGUUGGGCCUUCAGAGCCCGCUGAGAAAAAGCCUUCGGAAAUUGAAGAAAGGGCAACAGAAGAAAGGGCCACAGAGCGAAUUUCGCCUAAAGAGGUUACCACUCCUGCUCCUGAAGCUUUAAAAGAGACCAUUGAUUACAUCAUCCGCCAUGCUUCGGGAAAGGGACUCUCUAAGGAAGGAGAACGAGAGGCUCAACAUUAUGCCCAAAAACUGAAAUACCCGAAGGGGGUAUUAGUGUUCAAUGGCAGUGGGUAGGAAGAUUUUUUAUACUGUCUCCCGGAUAAUAAAGAAAUAUCCAUAUGUCAGGAGAUGGGUAGAAGCUUCGGAUUUCCGAAGCUAGAAGAAGGCCUUUCAGUGUUAUCAAAGGAUGAAUUGGCUGACAGUUUAGCAUAUAAUAGCAUAAAGGUAUAAAAGCUAAUUUUGUAUUUGAAAACGAAUUGUUUCAUUUGCUUAUACUUGAUCUUAUCCUCCUCUUGCAGGGCCUAAUCCUUAGCAAUGCCCUUAGAGCACAGAAAAACAUUGAAGAUAAAGGGUAUACAAUGGCUCUGAACAACCUUCGUUCAGAGGUGAUUGAACUAAGGAACGAAGGCCUUGAAAAAGACAAGAUAUUAAUUUCAUUGAUAAACAAAAUAAAAGAAGACGACGCUAUCUUCAAGGCUCAAGCUGAGGUUCAAAAGAAUGAGAUCGAAGAGCUUCGGAAACAACUAGCAGAAGCCAAGGAAAAAUGCGCUGUUGCAGAAGCUGAUCGAGAGGCCAGCGAAUAUUGGAAAAAUUAUUUUGAAAAAAUAGUUGAAGAACUUCGCGCAUCCAAGGAGAGAUGUUUUGAAAAUCUUUGGGCUGCAUGAAGAAGAUAAAAGCUAGCUUCGCCAACAUAGGUGCCUAUUCAAACGAAGAUAACUUCAUACGAGGCGACCCUGAGGGUGUUAUCGAGUAGAUCAACGGAGAAGCCGAAGCUUUUGAAGAGAUUUUAGGUGAUCGUGGGGAUGUCUGUGCGUUCUCUGGUGCGAGAGGAGUUUCAGCUAUCUUGGAGAAGGCGGGUUGUAAUCAUGUUAAAACCUUGGCCCAGGCCGAAGCUGCCCUCUCUGUGGAUGACACAAAGGAUCCCUCGACCGAAGCAAGUUUUCUUGGCGGAAAAUUUUUCACUGACAUCUGGGAGAAUGGUGGCAGAGAAAUGGCCCACGAGAUAAUUAAGAAGAGCGAAAAAGAUAUUCAUGACGCUCUAGAAGCAGCGAAAGAAACUGAGAAAGCUGCAGAACUCGAGAGACGGAUAGCUGAAUUACCUCCUCCACCGGAGCCGUUCUACCCCCUGGCCGACCCGGAGACAAAGAAAGCAAUAGAAAUUAUCAACAUAGCUGAAUCUAUUGUUGACGAAGUCGUCAACAAGUUGCUUAACGAAGUUGCGGAAAAAGUUCUAAAGGAAGAGUAGUAGUUAUUGUAAAAACGUUCUUAGGUGAUUAUUGUAACAUUUGUUGGACUAAGUCUGUAAUAUUUAAUGUGUAUAGUUUUAAAUCUAAUAUGUAAACUCUUCUGCAAUUCACUUCUUUGCGAUGCAUGAAACUUUUUAUAUACAUACCGUUUUUGAGCCCUCGGCGAAAAAACACCUUCCCUUCUUUUCAUGCUUCAUAAAGAAGAAUACUUAUGCUUUGUGAGAAUAUCCGUACUUUGUAAAGAGCAUCCAAGCUUCGUAAAAAUAUCAAUGCUUUGUGAACAAUA
This is a long non-coding RNA of Zea mays, 5893 nucleotides long. RefSeq lists it as uncharacterized. Lineage: Eukaryota; Viridiplantae; Streptophyta; Magnoliopsida; Poales; Poaceae. The record is from RefSeq and is a predicted model, not a curated record. The transcript is spliced from 2 exons.